This 820-nucleotide ribosomal RNA is filed under the name uncultured bacterium. Its description in RNAcentral is "bacterial SSU rRNA". It matches the Rfam family "Bacterial small subunit ribosomal RNA", at positions 71 to 890 of the family's 1533-position model. The record is from RNAcentral.
AGGGAGUGGCAACACUUCCGUCGGCGACCGGCGCACGGGUGAGUAACGCGUAUGCAACCUGCCCUUCACAGGGGGAUAACCGGGAGAAAUUCCGACUAAUACCGCAUACGUCCUCCGGGGGCAUCCCCGGGGGAUGAAAGAAUCAUCGGUGAAGGAUGGGCAUGCGUGAUAUUAGGUAGUUGGCGGGGCAACGGCCCACCAAGCCCACGAUAUCUAGGGGUUCUGAGAGGAAGGUCCCCCACAUUGGUACUGAGACACGGACCAAACUCCUACGGGAGGCAGCAGUGAGGAAUAUUGGUCAAUGGACGAGAGUCUGAACCAGCCAAGUCGCGUGAAGGAAGACGGAUCUAUGGUUUGUAAACUUCUUUAGUGCGGGAACAAAGCGGCGUCGUGACGCCUGAUGAGUGUACCGCAAGAAUAAGCAUCGGCUAACUCCGUGCCAGCAGCCGCGGUAAUACGGAGGAUGCGAGCGUUAUCCGGAUUUAUUGGGUUUAAAGGGAGCGCAGGCUGCGAGGCAAGUCAGCGGUCAAAUGUCGGGGCUCAACCCCGGCCUGCCGUUGAAACUGUCCUGCUAGAGUUCGAGUGAGGUAUGCGGAAUGCGUUGUGUAGCGGUGAAAUGCAUAGAUAUGACGCAGAACUCCGAUUGCGAAGGCAGCAUACCAACUCGCGACUGACGCUGAGGCUCGAAAGCGUGGGUAUCGAACAGGAUUAGAUACCCUGGUAGUCCACGCAGUAAACGAUGAAUACUAACUGUUCGGAGGGCGACCUCUGAGUGGUAAAGCGAAAGCGUUAAGUAUUCCACCUGGGGAGUACGCCGGCA